AUCCUUUUCCAGUUCAUAAGCAUGAUGAUCUGGUUUUCACAUGUCUGUGUGAUAGGUGCUUCCCUUUAACCUUGUUAUGACGGUGGCACUUGACCCUUCUGACA
Small nucleolar RNA from Suncus etruscus (white-toothed pygmy shrew), 104 nucleotides. RefSeq annotates it as small nucleolar RNA U13. The transcript has a single exon. Lineage: Eukaryota; Metazoa; Chordata; Mammalia; Eulipotyphla; Soricidae. The record is from RefSeq and is a predicted model, not a curated record.